Molecule: unclassified non-coding RNA, 565 nt
Filed under: Mucor saturninus
Lineage: Eukaryota; Fungi; Mucoromycota; Mucoromycetes; Mucorales; Mucoraceae
Description: sequence contains 18S rRNA gene, ITS1, 5.8S rRNA gene, ITS2, 28S rRNA gene
Source: RNAcentral
GAUCAUUAAAUAAUUUGAUAUUUUCUGGGUUGAAUUUAUUUUCUUCUCCAGUUUAAAAUAUUCUAUUUUACUGUGAACUGUAUUAUUACAGGACGCUUGAGGGAUGCUUAUUGACUAUAAGGGAUAGGUCAGUAAGAUGUUAACCGAUGUCUUGAUCAAACUUUACUUCAAAAGUUUGGUAUCCUAAUUAUUAUUUACCAAAAGAAUUCAGAAUAAAAUAUUGUAACAUAGACCUAAGAAAUCUAUAAAAACAACUUUUAACAACGGAUCUCUUGGUUCUCGCAUCGAUGAAGAACGUAGCAAAGUGCGAUAACUAGUGUGAAUUGCAUAUUCAGUGAAUCAUCGAGUCUUUGAACGCAACUUGCGCUCAUUGGUAUUCCAAUGAGCACGCCUGUUUCAGUAUCAGAAACACCCCACAUCCAAAAAUUUAUUUUUUUUUUAGAUAGAUUUUUGCUGAUGGAAUUGAGAGUACUUUUACGGDUGACAUUUAUUUGUUCGCCGUUCUCUUUAAAAAUAUUAGGCCUGAAAUUUUAGUUUUUUAAAUUUGCCUGAACUUUUUUUUUAA